GCCAGCAGCCGCGGUAAUACGUAGGGUGCAAGCGUUAAUCGGAAUUACUGGGCGUAAAGCGUGCGCAGGCGGUUUUGUAAGACUGUCGUGAAUCCCCGGGCUUAACCUGGGAAUGGCGAUGGUGACUGCAAGGCUGGAGUUUGGCAGAGGGGGGUAGAAUUCCACGUGUAGCAGUGAAAUGCGUAGAGAUGUGGAGGAACACCGAUGGCGAAGGCAGCCCCCUGGGUCAAAACUGACGCUCAUGCACGAAAGCGUGGGGAGCAAACAGGAUUAGAUACCCUGGUAGUCCACGCCCUAAACGAUGUCUACUAGUUGUCGGGUCUUAAUUGACUUGGUAACGCAGCUAACGCGUGAAGUAGACCGCCUGGGGAGUACGGUCGCAAGAUUAAAACUCAAAGGAAUUGACGGGGACCCGCACAAGCGGUGGAUGAUGUGGAUUAAUUCGAUGCAACGCGAAAAACCUUACCUACCCUUGACAUGGAAGGAAUCCCUGAGAGAUCGGGGAGUGCCCGAAAGGGAACCUUUACACAGGUGCUGCAUGGCUGUCGUCAGCUCGUGUCGUGAGAUGCUGGGUUAAGUCCCGCAACGAGCGCAACCCUUGUCAUUAGUUGCUACGAAAGGGCACUCUAAUGAGACUGCCGGUGACAAACCGGAGGAAGGUGGGGGUGACGUCAAGUCCUCAUGGCCCUUAUGGGUAGGGCUUCACACGUCAUACAAUGGUACAUACAGAGGGCCGCCAACCCGCGAGGGGGAGCUAAUCCCAGAAAGUGUAUCGUAGUCCGGAUUGUAGUCUGCAACUCGACUACAUGAAGUUGGAAUCGCUAGUAAUCGCGGAUCAGCAUGUCGCGG
This 849-nucleotide ribosomal RNA is filed under the name uncultured freshwater bacterium. RNAcentral describes it as "bacterial SSU rRNA". It matches the Rfam family "Bacterial small subunit ribosomal RNA", at positions 507 to 1362 of the family's 1533-position model. The record is from RNAcentral.